This 253-nucleotide ribosomal RNA is filed under the name uncultured bacterium. RNAcentral describes it as "partial 16S ribosomal RNA". It matches the Rfam family "Bacterial small subunit ribosomal RNA", at positions 524 to 776 of the family's 1533-position model. The record is from RNAcentral.
UACGGAGGGUGCAAGCGUUGUCCGGAAUCAUUGGGCGUAAAGCGUUCGUAGGCGGCAUACCAAGUCUGGUGUUAAAUCCCGGGGCUCAACUCCGGUCUGGCACUGGAUACUGGUAAGCUAGAAUGUGGUAGAGGUAAAGGGAAUUCCUGGUGUAGCGGUGAAAUGCGUAGAUAUCAGGAGGAACACCGGUGGCGUAAGCGCUUUACUGGGCCAUAAUUGACGCUGAGGAACGAAAGCCGGGGGAGCGAAUGGG